This 2118-nucleotide long non-coding RNA is filed under the name Daucus carota (carrot). RNAcentral's name for it is "long non-coding RNA (DCAR_LNC003502)". Lineage: Eukaryota; Viridiplantae; Streptophyta; Magnoliopsida; Apiales; Apiaceae. The record is from RNAcentral.
GCGGAUAAGAGAACGUGGCAGGAAAAGUUUAAGCAGAUAUGAGAAGAUAUGAGUUGACAGGAAAUCUGUAAGCUUUUGAAGAAAGUGAGACAGCAGGAAUCUAAAAAAGAUAGAAAAGACUGCACUCAGAAAAUAAUUCAUGUAUCAUUAUUGUAAUACAUUAUUGAAAGGCUAUUGUAUGGCUGUAAUCAAAACCGGGAUCUCUAUAUAAGAGACCUUAUUGUAACAUUGAAAAUCAUCAGUUCUUGAAAUACAUCUUAAAUUUCUCUACACUUACUCUUCUUAUGGCAAACUAAACUUCUUCUCCUACAAUCUACGACAGAAAAACAUGUUCAUCAAUAAGAUAUCAUAUACAAAUAUUAUCUAUUUGUCAUCAUAAGUUAUAUCAUUUAAAGCAGAGAUGGUGGAUAUCUGUCGAGCAACCUGGUUGCAGAGCCUGUUAGACGGGAGGUCAUAAAAGGGCAUAGCAGAGAUCAGGGACUCCGGUGAGCCAAUCUGUUUAAAUAGUAUGAUUUAUUUUGAUAAAUAAGAUAGGAUUUUUAUAUGAUAUCUAUAAUUCAUGUUAUGCAUGAUAUUGAUGAAAAAUGUUUAGAAGUUAUAGAUUGUAGAUUUUAUUUAAAACAUGAUUGUUUUUGUUGUAAGUUCUAAUUGCCUACCCUCUUUAGGGUUUAUUAGAUAUAAGAAACGAUCCCCUUUAUCCUCUCGGUAUUUUGGUAUCAGAGCAAAAUACACUAUAUUCUCAAAGGUGUUUUUUAAGAAAGGUGAUUACACUAUGUUUAAAAAUUUUGGAUACAAAAGGUUGGAUCUUUGUUGGGCAGUUUAAUUAUUGGAUCUUUGAGAAUGGAAGGGUUAUGGGAGGUGAUAGUUGCAGCAAGUAUUGAUUAUCGGAAAAUGAAUAUUAUCUCCAGAGUUUUAUGCUUAGAUACAUCGGUCUGAUAUACCCUAUGCCCUCAUCUUGUGAUUUAUUUGAAAUCCAUUAUUGGAAGUAACACAUCUGAUUGGAAUAUAUUGCGAGCGGGCUUACUGCUCACCUAAGCAUAUAUGUGAUGCAUAAUGCAUAGUUGGUGGGUAAAAGAGGCUGUACGCUUGAAAAAGUAAUAUGGUUAUUUGAUGGUGGAAAUAUUUAUUUUAGACAAGUCGGGCUCACUGCUCACCUAUGCAUAUAUGUGAUGCUUAAUGCAUAGUUGGUGGGUAAAAAAUGUUGUAUCCUUGAAAAAGUACUAUGGUUAUUUGAUGGUGGAAAUAGGCAUUCUAGACGAUUAUUUGAUGGUGGAAAUAGGCAUUUUAGACGAUUUUUCCAAUUGUAAUAACUAGGGGUGUUCAAAAUAUCCGUCAAACCGCACACCCGAACCGAACCAUAACAAUCCAAACAAAAAAAACCCGGAACUGCUAGAAACGUUGUUGAUGAUUCGGUUAACCAGACCAUUCAAUUAUAAAUGGUUUGGUUAUGGUUUUUAAUAUACGAAAACGGGUUAAAGCUAACCGGACCGUUACAUAUUAAUACAUAAAAAUAUGUAAUAUAUAUAAUUAUACAUUGAGACUAGAAUUUAUAAUUUGAUACAUAAANCUAUUGUAUGGCUGUAAUCAAAACCGGGAUCUCUAUAUAAGAGACCUUAUUGUAACAUUGAAAAUCAUCAGUUCUUGAAAUACAUCUUAAAUUUCUCUACACUUACUCUUCUUAUGGCAAACUAAACUUCUUCUCCUACAAUCUACGACAGAAAAACAUGUUCAUCAAUAAGAUAUCAUAUACAAAUAUUAUCUAUUUGUCAUCAUAAGUUAUAUCAUUUAAAGCAGAGAUGGUGGAUAUCUGUCGAGCAACCUGGUUGCAGAGCCUGUUAGACGGGAGGUCAUAAAAGGGCAUAGCAGAGAUCAGGGACUCCGGUGAGCCAAUCUGUUUAAAUAGUAUGAUUUAUUUUGAUAAAUAAGAUAGGAUUUUUAUAUGAUAUCUAUAAUUCAUGUUAUGCAUGAUAUUGAUGAAAAAUGUUUAGAAGUUAUAGAUUGUAGAUUUUAUUUAAAACAUGAUUGUUUUUGUUGUAAGUUCUAAUUGCCUACCCUCUUUAGGGUUUAUUAGAUAUAAGAAACGAUCCCCUUUAUCCUCUCGGUAUUUUGGUAUCAGAG